UACAGAGGUCCCGAGCGUUGUUCGGAUUCACUGGGCGUAAAGGGUGCGUAGGUGGCAUGGAAAGUUUGAUGUGAAAGCUCAGGGCUUAACCCUGAAAUGGCAUUGAAUACUGCCGUGCUGGAGGUUUGGAGGGGGGACUGGAAUUCUGGGUGUAGCAGUGAAAUGCGUAGAUAUCAAGAGGAACACCAGUGGCGAAGGCGAGUCCCUGGACAACACCUGACACUGAGGCACGAAAGCUAGGGGAGCAAACAGG
Molecule: ribosomal RNA, 253 nt
Filed under: uncultured bacterium
Lineage: Bacteria
Description: partial 16S ribosomal RNA
Rfam family: Bacterial small subunit ribosomal RNA
Source: RNAcentral